AAGAUAAGAGCCAGUCAGAUUAGCCGAAGGACAACUGCCUAGCUGGAAACCCUAAUAUAUAUGUGCUCAAGUACUAAUCUGUUAGUAACUUGUGAAUAUAUGAUAUCUAAUUAGGCAAGUCAUCCUUGGCUACCAAACACGGCUCUUCACC
RNAcentral lists this microRNA precursor (151 nucleotides) under Malus domestica (apple). The record is from RNAcentral. Lineage: Eukaryota; Viridiplantae; Streptophyta; Magnoliopsida; Rosales; Rosaceae. RNAcentral also lists the same sequence under 1 other name.